AGUAGAAGAUGGAUGACCAAAACUGAGAGAGAAUUCUAGGACAGAAAAGAUGUAGAUGUUGGAUAACCAUCCUGGAACAGAACCGUAGGACAAGAAAGAUGUAGAUGAUGGGUGACCAAGCUGGGACAGAAUGCCAAGACAGGAAAGAUGUAGAAAUGAGUGGACCAGGAAGCAAAGAAUCAUUACACCAAGGUGUGCUCGGUUGUCUUGGACACUCCUAAUGUCCCCUGUGACAGGUCAGCCAGCAGCGACAAAGUCAUUAGUAUCGGGGUGGACACCCACCUUCCAGGCAACAAGAACAGCAGCUCAUCAUCGACGAUGUUUUCUUUUUCUAUUGUGGUGGGCAUCCGCAUACUAUAAGCACAGCCAAUACACUAGCAGCACCACGUGCCGACGUCACGGGCACAGAGAAGACAUCACCUAUUGGCUGGAGACGCUGUGGCUCUGCUGUUACCACAACAGAAACAUUACAUCAUUGUGAGGCUAACAUCAGUACAGUCAGAAAUGUUUACCUGGCAUUUAAAACUGAUUUUUGUUUACAAUAAACAAAUUAUUUGAGCAACAUGAGAA
This is a long non-coding RNA of Schistocerca serialis cubense, 570 nucleotides long. RefSeq lists it as uncharacterized. The transcript has 2 exons. Lineage: Eukaryota; Metazoa; Arthropoda; Insecta; Orthoptera; Acrididae. The record is from RefSeq and is a predicted model, not a curated record.